CCUACGGGAGGCUGCAGUGGGGAAUAUUGGACAAUGGGGGGAACCCUGAUCCAGCCAUGCCGCGUGUGUGAAGAAGGCCCUCGGGUUGUAAAGCACUUUCAGUGAGGAAGAACGCCUGGUGGUUAAUACCCAUCAGGAAAGACAUCACUCACAGAAGAAGCACCGGCUAACUCCGUGCCAGCGGCCGCGGUAAUACGGAGGGUGCGAGCGUUAAUCGGAAUUACUGGGCGUAAAGCGCGCGUAGGUGGCUUGAUAAGCCGGUUGUGAAAGCCCCGGGCUCAACCUGGGAACGGCAUCCGGAACUGUCAAGCUAGAGUGCAGGAGAGGAAGGUAGAAUUCCCGGUGUAGCGGUGAAAUGCGUAGAGAUCGGGAGGAAUACCAGUGGCGAAGGCGGCCUUCUGGACUGACACUGACACUGAGGUGCGAAAGCGUGGGUAGCAAACAGGAUUAGAUACCCCGGUAGUC
This 465-nucleotide ribosomal RNA is filed under the name Vreelandella stevensii. RNAcentral's name for it is "partial 16S ribosomal RNA". It matches the Rfam family "Bacterial small subunit ribosomal RNA", at positions 338 to 795 of the family's 1533-position model. Lineage: Bacteria; Pseudomonadati; Pseudomonadota; Gammaproteobacteria; Oceanospirillales; Halomonadaceae. The record is from RNAcentral.